Molecule: ribosomal RNA, 462 nt
Filed under: uncultured bacterium
Lineage: Bacteria
Description: partial 16S ribosomal RNA
Rfam family: Bacterial small subunit ribosomal RNA
Source: RNAcentral
GAUGAACGCUGACAGAAUGCUUAACACAUGCAAGUCUUUGGCGAAGCUGUGCUUGCACAGCCUAGCCAAGGCGGACGGGUGAGUAACGCGUAAGGAACUUGCCCUGCAGUCAGGGAUAACAGACGGAAACGACUGAUAAGACCUGGUAAAGUCAGGCGGACUCAUGUCGAGCCUGAUGAAAAGAGAUGCUGCAGGAGAGCCUUGCGUCCUAUUAGCUUGUUGGUGGGGUAACGGCCCACCAAGGCGAUGAUAGGUAGCCGGCCUGAGAGGGUGGACGGCCACAAGGGGACUGAGAUACGGCCCUUACUCCUACGGGAGGCAGCAGUGGGGAAUAUUGGACAAUGGGGGCAACCCUGAUCCAGCAAUUCUGUGUGCACGAUGAAGGUUUUCGGAUUGUAAAGUGCUUUCAGCAGGGAAGAAAAAAUGACGGUACCUGCAGAAGAAGCGACGGCUAAAUACGUG